GCUAGUAAUCGUGGAUCAGCAUGCCACGGUGAAUACGUUCCCGGGUCUUGUACACACCGCCCGUCACACCAUGGGAGCUGGUAACACCCGAAGUCAGUAGUCUAACCGCAAGGAGGACGCUGCCGAAGGUGGGAUUAGCGACUGGGGUGAAGUCGUAACAAGGUAUC
Molecule: ribosomal RNA, 167 nt
Filed under: uncultured bacterium
Lineage: Bacteria
Description: partial 16S ribosomal RNA
Rfam family: Bacterial small subunit ribosomal RNA
Source: RNAcentral